UGGGGGAUAUUGCACAAUGGGCGAAAGCCUGAUGCAGCGACGCCGCGUGGGGGAUGAAGGCUUUCGGGUUGUAAACCUCUUUCGCUAUCGAACAAGGCCCGCUUAGGGUGGGUUGAGGGUAGGUGGAGAAGAAGCGCCGACUAACUACGUGCCAGCAGCCGCGGUAAUACGUAGGGCGCGAGCGUUGUCCGGAAUUAUUGGGCGUAAAGGGCUUGUAGGCGGCUUGUUGCGCCUGCUGUGAAAACGCGGGGCUUAACUUCGCGCGUGCAGUGGGUACGGGCAGGCUUGAGUGUGGUAGGGGUGACUGGAAUUCCAGGUGUAGCGGUGGAAUGCGCAGAUAUCUGGAGGCACACCGAUGGCGAAGGCAGGUCACUGGGCCAUUACUGACGCUGAGGAGCGAAAGCAUGGGUAGCGAACAGG
RNAcentral lists this ribosomal RNA (420 nucleotides) under bacterium. Its description in RNAcentral is "partial 16S ribosomal RNA". It matches the Rfam family "Bacterial small subunit ribosomal RNA", at positions 355 to 776 of the family's 1533-position model. The record is from RNAcentral.